RNAcentral lists this ribosomal RNA (497 nucleotides) under uncultured bacterium. RNAcentral describes it as "partial 16S ribosomal RNA". It matches the Rfam family "Bacterial small subunit ribosomal RNA", at positions 28 to 507 of the family's 1533-position model. The record is from RNAcentral.
GAUGAACGCUGGCGGCGUGCCUAAUACAUGCAAGUCGAGCGAACAGACGAGGAGCUUGCUCCUCUGACGUUAGCGGCGGACGGGUGAGUAACACGUGGAUAACCUACCUAUAAGACUGGGAUAACUUCGGGAAACCGGAGCUAAUACCGGAUAAUAUAUUGAACCGCAUGGUUCAAUAGUGAAAGCCGGUUUUGCCGUCACUUAUAGAUGGAUCCGCGCCGCAUUAGCUAGUUGGUAAGGUAACGGCUUACCAAGGCAACGAUGCGUAGCCGACCUGAGAGGGUGAUCGGCCACACUGGAACUGAGACACGGUCCAGACUCCUACGGGAGGCAGCAGUAGGGAAUCUUCCGCAAUGGGCGAAAGCUUGACGGAGCAACGCCGCGUGAGUGAUGAAGGUCUUCGGAUCGUAAAACUCUGUUAUUAGGGAAGAACAAAUGUGUAAGUAACUAUGCACGUCUUGACGGUACCUAAUCAGAAAGCCACGGCUAACUACGUG